RNAcentral lists this long non-coding RNA (2170 nucleotides) under Homo sapiens (human). RNAcentral's name for it is "HSALNT0099329". Lineage: Eukaryota; Metazoa; Chordata; Mammalia; Primates; Hominidae. The record is from RNAcentral.
CCAGCCUGGGCGACAGAGCGAAACUCUGUCUCAAAAAAAAAAAAAUGUGAAUCUAUUCUAAAAGAUGGAUCAUUUGGCUCUUUGGUUUGAUAUUUGCUUCAAUAUCCAAUAUCAGCCAACCUUGACCUGGACACUGUAGUCAUAGACUCUUAACAGUCAGCUGUGACUUCAGAGACCAUUUGGAUGAAACUGUUUAAUGGAAAACCUCUUUCAUGACAGUCCUGCCUUGCUAGUCAAACUCGGCCCGGACGCACUUAGGGACGAGGUGCUAACUCUCACAGAAACUACCUGAUCUUUCUUAUUUGAAUAAACCCCACCUCCCUGUAACUUCCUCCUCAUUCUUUUGUUCUCUGACAGCCUCGGGAUAUUUGAAGGCAACCUGGGUUGGUCCCAGCCUUUCCAGCACCUCCUUUCUCCAGCUUGGACUAGAAGCUCUUGGCGUGUGUCAGCUGUUUGUGACAUGACAUGGGUUUGAGACUCCUUCUUUCCCAGCGUGCCCCACAGGGGAAGUCUCUAGAGCCAGGCCCACCCGGGGACAGCAGAGCAGAGCCCUCCCUCUACCUCCAGGACCUAAAUUCUGCAGUAGGGCCAUCUGCCCUGACACCUUCCAAAAGGGUCAUGGUAGAAGAUAUGAAGCAGAAGUCUGCGAGGAUUUCAUCUUCCAACUUUGAGGACCAGGUAUCUGCCCACCCACUCCCAUUUCGCCUUGUCUUUGGUGGAAGCUGGGCUGCAUCUGGAGCUGGUGGGUCUGUGGCCGAAGAUCUGCCUUGUACAGCAGCAACAGGCUCCCCUCCUCUCCUCUUGCUUGCCUGAUGUGGUUGCACUCAACAUGCUUCUUAACUUUUGUAAAAUUCUACAGUGGAAUCUUCAGGACAAGGCCACUGAGUGGUCUCCUGGGUAUUUCCUGUUACUUCGACCAUCCCUCACUGGGCACUGGCCCACUCUGCCUUUAUUUCCAGGGAAUGUCCUCCUCAGGUAAAACAUAGCAGAACACAGAUAACACACUAGCUGAUUUCUUGGUUUUUGAAUCUGAAAAGUCUGGACCCUGGCACAGAACUCACAAUGGGCCCCAGAAAGUAUUUCUUGAGUGGGAAGCUGGACAGCUGGAGGGGAAGUGGGCCGCGAGAGUGGUGGCCCUCCCCAGGGACCCUGUAUUCUGCCCCUCAUGCCCUGGGCUGGUGGUGGAGGUGAGGCUGGGGGCUGACUUCAGAGUGCCCAGCGUGGAGCAGGGACAGAGGAGAGGUCUGCGGGUGUGUCUGGAGGACCAGGUUGGGAGCCUUGCGGAGGUUUCUGUCCUGGAGCCAUCAAACGUUUCCUGGACACCCAAGGGCUGCAUGGUUGUGGCAGGGGAGAGGUGUGAGGGGCAGCCAGGACCUGCCUGUAUCCCAACCAGAGGGCCAGCAGGGUGUCUCCACAGCACCCUGCAUGAGUGGACCGUGAGGCUCCACCCACCCCCAGGCGAUCCUCCUGUCUCCUGUGGAAUCACAGGGACCCCAGGUUGGUGCAGAGCAUCUCUGUCAGUGCAGAAUGGGGCUUCUCAUCGAGGUCAGCUCACCUACAGAACAAGGAAGUUAUGUUUCCUACACACUUGCAAUCGGGAACUGAGCCCAGCGCCCACUAUGCAUUUAGCAACAAUCACAUCUCUCCUUCUGAGUUAAAAUACCUGUUAUGGGUAAGAGCAAGAUGGAAAAUACAGCUGUGCAGGGAGACCAGCUUCCUCCUUGGACAUGCAGGAAGCCCAUUUUCCAGAUGGCUGUGCCUCAUAUUUCAGGACAAAUGCUAAGGUGAUGAGGGGUAAGGAAAAAACACAUAAGCUUUUUAUUCACUUAUUCAUUCAGCAUUUAUGGAGCAUCUGCUGUGCCGGGAAAUACAAUGAUGAAUAAAAUAGACAAGGUUGCCCAGCAACAUGUGCAUGGAGAUUUCGUCUUUUCUGUGUACAACCCCAGCCCCAGGAGGCAAGCCCGCUGGGACACACAUCCCGGGAUGCUGAGUAGAGGAACUCUAAAUAUGCCUCCUCGUAUCAACCACUGACCUUGUCCCUGGGGUGUGCCCUCGGCCAUCACUCUUGAGGAAUGAGGUGGACCCUGAGUUCUACUUGCUAGUCCAAAUGUUUUUCUCGUAUGGGUCCUGCCACAGAUUUCCUGAAGGUAUAUAUCUAUGAAUGGAGUUG